AUUGAACGCUGGCGGCAGGCUUAACACAUGCAAGUCGAACGAGCGGCGGACGGGUGAGUAAUGUAUGGGAAUCUAGCCUAUGGAGGGGGAUAACUACGGGAAACUGUCGCUAAUACCGCGUACUAUAGGAUGAGCCCAAGUGGGAUUAGGUAGUUGGUGUGGUAAAGGCUCACCAAGUCGACGAUCUCUAGCUGGUCUGAGAGGAUGACCAGCCACACUGGGACUGAGACACGGCCCAGACUCCAACGGGAGGCAGCAGGGGGGAAUAUUGCGCAAUGGGGGCAAACUGACUCAGGCAUGCCGCGUGGAUGAAGAAGGCCUUCGGGUUUUAAAGUUCUUUUGGUAGGGAGGCGUUAACUCCAGAAGAAGCACCGGCUAACUCCGUGCCAGCCGGCGGGGUAAUAC
RNAcentral lists this ribosomal RNA (405 nucleotides) under uncultured bacterium. RNAcentral's name for it is "partial 16S ribosomal RNA". It matches the Rfam family "Bacterial small subunit ribosomal RNA", at positions 30 to 526 of the family's 1533-position model. The record is from RNAcentral.